GACGAACGCUGGCGGCGUGCUUAACACAUGCAAGUCGAACGGGAUUUAGUAAACGGAAGCCUCGGUGGAAGAUUACUAAUGAGAGUGGCGAACGGGUGAGUAACGCGUGAGCAGCCUGCCUAUGACAGUGGGAUAGCCUCGGGAAACCGGGAUUAAUACCGCAUAAAAUCGUAGAAACACAUGUUUCAACGGUCAAAGAUUUAUCGGUCAUAGAUGGGCUCGCGUCUGAUUAGCUAGUUGGUGAGAUAACAGCCCACCAAGGCGACGAUCAGUAGCCGGUCUGAGAGGAUGAACGGCCACAUUGGAACUGAGACACGGUCCAAACUCCUAAGGGAGGCAGCAGUGGGGAAUAUUGCACAAUGGGGGAAACCCUGAUGCAGCGACGCCGCGUGAACGAAGAAGGUAUUCGUAUCGUAAAGUUCUGUCCUAUGGGAAGAUAAUGACAGUACCAUAGAAGAAAGCGCCGGCUAAAUACGUG
This 478-nucleotide ribosomal RNA is filed under the name uncultured bacterium. Its description in RNAcentral is "partial 16S ribosomal RNA". It matches the Rfam family "Bacterial small subunit ribosomal RNA", at positions 28 to 507 of the family's 1533-position model. The record is from RNAcentral.